UAGGACUCUCGGCAAUGGAUAUCUUGGCUCUUGCAUCGAUGAAGAGCGCAGCGAAAUGCGAUAGCCGUGGUGUGAAUUGCAGAAUCCCGUGAACCAUCGAGUUUUUGAACGCAAGUUGCGCCCGAGGCCAAUUGGCUAAGGGCACGUCCGCCUGGGCGUCAAGCGC
RNAcentral lists this ribosomal RNA (166 nucleotides) under Pterostylis alata. RNAcentral's name for it is "5.8S ribosomal RNA". It matches the Rfam family "5.8S ribosomal RNA". Rfam says of the family: 5.8S ribosomal RNA (5.8S rRNA) is a component of the large subunit of the eukaryotic ribosome. It is transcribed by RNA polymerase I as part of the 45S precursor that also contains 18S and 28S rRNA. RNAcentral also lists the same sequence under 6 other names. The record is from RNAcentral. Lineage: Eukaryota; Viridiplantae; Streptophyta; Magnoliopsida; Asparagales; Orchidaceae.